Molecule: ribosomal RNA, 641 nt
Filed under: Blastococcus sp. I12A-02577
Lineage: Bacteria; Bacillati; Actinomycetota; Actinomycetes; Geodermatophilales; Geodermatophilaceae
Description: bacterial SSU rRNA
Rfam family: Bacterial small subunit ribosomal RNA
Source: RNAcentral
UGAGUAACACGUGGGCAACCUGCCCUCAGCUCUGGGAUAACCCCAAGAAAUUGGGGCUAAUACUGGAUAUGACUGCUGACCGCAUGGUCUGGUGGUGGAAAGAUUUAUCGGCUGAGGAUGGGCCCGCGGCCUAUCAGCUUGUUGGUGGGGUGAUGGCCUACCAAGGCGACGACGGGUAGCCGGCCUGAGAGGGUGACCGGUCACACUGGGACUGAGACACGGCCCAGACUCCUACGGGAGGCAGCAGUGGGGAAUAUUGCGCAAUGGGCGGAAGCCUGACGCAGCGACGCCGCGUGGGGGAUGACGGCCUUCGGGUUGUAAACCUCUUUCAGCAGGGACGAAGCGAAAGUGACGGUACCUGCAGAAGAAGCACCGGCCAACUACGUGCCAGCAGCCGCGGUAAUACGUAGGGUGCAAGCGUUGUCCGGAAUUAUUGGGCGUAAAGAGCUCGUAGGCGGUCUGUCGCGUCGGCUGUGAAAUCCCGAGGCUCAACCUCGGGUCUGCAGUCGAUACGGGCAAACUAGAGUGUUGCAGGGGAGACUGGAAUUCCUGGUGUAGCGGUGAAAUGCGCAGAUAUCAGGAGGAACACCGGUGGCGAAGGCGGGUCUCUGGGCAACAACUGACGCUGAGGAGCGAAAGCG